CAGGGAGACAACAAAAUGUUUAAUAUUAUUAUUUUGUCACCUUAGGUCGAUCGGUAUCUCACGUUCUUAAUUUAUUAAGAAUUUCAUUUCCUAAGUUUUUCUAGGUCACACCCAUUAUUUUCCUGGGCCAUUAGCUCAGGUGGUUAGAGCGCACCCCUGAUAAGGGUGAGGUCCCUGGUUCAAGUCCAGGAUGGCCCAUAUCUCUAUGUUGGGGGUAUAGCUCAGUUGGUAGAGCGCCUGCUUUGCAAGCAGGAUGUCAGCGGUUCGAGUCCGCUUACCUCCACUGAUUACCACCUCUUCCAUAAUCUGUAGAAAGGAAAAUUUUUGAGUUGUGAUCAUUAUUCUGAAAGAAUCUAGCUUCCUAAUGAAACCAUUAAGAUGCUGGACUCAUUGAAUUAAUUUCAUUGUUUUCAGAGAACCUUGACAACUGCAUAGAUUAUUUUUAAAGACAAUAAGCAUUUUUAAUGAUGCAGAUUUAUUAUUUGUGCAAAUGCAUUAAUAACAAUUCUAUUAAGCUGAUGCUUCAAUUAUGAAGUUAUU
RNAcentral lists this transfer RNA (540 nucleotides) under uncultured Prochlorococcus sp. RNAcentral describes it as "partial 16S-23S ribosomal RNA intergenic spacer". The stretch from base 211 to 283 matches the Rfam family "tRNA". The record is from RNAcentral. Lineage: Bacteria; Bacillati; Cyanobacteriota; Cyanophyceae; Synechococcales; Prochlorococcaceae.